UAUCUCUUCCGUAGAUGACUUUUCUUUGUGAUAUGUACCGUUCUAGAUCAGGAACAUUGUUCAUUUAACUAUUUGUUUAGCUUGCUUGUCAUGAAAAUGAAAAGACUUAUGUUAAAAGGAAGCUAAGGUUUUGAUACAGUGCUUUAUUUGUUCAUAACCUUUAGACGACAAACCUCUUGGUGGUAAACCUUGAGAGUUGUAGCUGUGCAAUUGUCCAAAGUUGGGCAGCUCUUCACAAAGGCACAACUUUCUGCCUAGUCAAGGAGAAGACAGAAUAAAGUCCCGGAAAUUCCACAUUCUGAGAAAUUGUCUACAUGGUCAUGUGCAGGUAUUACAACUCAGCAUCGUAGCCUAUUUGUUGCAACCUCCAAUGCAGUUUCUAUUAUGAAUUUUCCAUGGCUUUUCGCAACAAUCACUACUCCAUUUCCUAUUAAAGUGCCAGAUGUAGCUCGGUGGCAACAUAUGCAAUUUUCUUUAUUAGUUUGGAUCUGCAAAUCAUGCCAUAAUUAGGUAAGAGAAUGGUUGUUGCUUGCUGUUCAUUCAGCUGAUUGAAUGGAGGACCUCUGGGACUCACGUGUGCCUAAGAUGGCAUGAUGGUUGUCAUUGUUGUGGCUCUGCAUCUUUGUAUGUUAAAAUGGCCCAUCAGAUAAGCCGGUGCAGCUUCUGCAGGAGAUAUCCAAUGACGAGGAGUUAGAGAUUCACAACCUGAAUACAAAAUUUCUACCAUAUAGCUGUAGCAGUUUCUGUGAGCAGGCUGGUGAAGGGGGCUUUGCUUCAAUUAGAGAGAGCUAAAAUUUUCACGAAAUAUUCUGACUGUCAAAUUAUCUCCAACCAAUAUUUCUUAGUAGCUUCUGUCCCGAAAUGCCCAUGAAAAGGGUGCUUUGUACUGUAGGACAAUGGGAGAGAAUAAUCCACCAAAAUAGUGAUGCUUCAGAUUUGUUCCUUGCAA
This is a long non-coding RNA of Eucalyptus grandis, 949 nucleotides long. RefSeq lists it as uncharacterized. Lineage: Eukaryota; Viridiplantae; Streptophyta; Magnoliopsida; Myrtales; Myrtaceae. The record is from RefSeq and is a predicted model, not a curated record. The transcript has 2 exons.